UAAGCCCGAGGUCAAGCUUGGAAGUGGUCAUCCAAUGUAAGUGCGUUCUUUUUCCGCCGCCACUUCUCCCAAAAGGGCUUGACCUUAGGGUGGAGGA
RNAcentral lists this non-coding RNA (97 nucleotides) under unclassified sequences. RNAcentral describes it as "DUF1874 RNA". It matches the Rfam family "DUF1874 RNA". Rfam says of the family: Hot springs metagenome only. Environment (Bison Hot Springs, Yellowstone) The record is from RNAcentral.